ACCGGCGCACGGGUGCGUAACGCGUAUGCACCUACCUUCUACAGGGGGAUAGUCAAUAGAAAUGUUGAAUAAUACCCCAUACGAUAGCAUUAUGAAAGCUCCGGCGGUAGAAGAUGGGCAUGCGUCCUAUUAGUUAGUUGGUAAGGUAACGGCUUACCAAGACUUCGAUAGGUAGGGGUCCUGAGAGGGAGACCCCCCACACUGGUACUGAGACACGGACCAGACUCCUACGGGAGGCAGCAGUGAGGAANNNNNNNCAAUGGAGGCAACUCUGAUCCAGCCAUGCCGCGUGCAGGAAGACUGCCUAUGGGCUGUAAACUGCUUUUAUACAGGAAGAAAUAUACCUACGUGUAGGUAUUUGACGGUACUGUACGAAUAGGGAUCGGCUAACUCCGUGCCAGCAGCCGCGGUAAUACGGAGGAUCCAAGCGUUAUCCGGAAUCAUUGGGUUUAAAGGGUCCGUAGGCGGUCUUUUAAGUCAGAGGUGAAAUCCUACAGCUCAACUGUAGAAUUGCCUUUGAUACUGAAAGACUUGAGUUAUUGUGAAGUAGUUAGAAUGUGUGGUGUAGCGGUGAAAUGCAUAGAGAUCACACAGAAUACCGAUUGCGAAGGCAGAUUACUAACAAUAUACUGACGCUGAGGGACGAAAGCGUGGGUAGCGAACAGGAUUAGAUACCCUGGUAGUCCACGCCGA
Molecule: ribosomal RNA, 693 nt
Filed under: uncultured bacterium
Lineage: Bacteria
Description: bacterial SSU rRNA
Rfam family: Bacterial small subunit ribosomal RNA
Source: RNAcentral